This is a long non-coding RNA of Mytilus californianus (California mussel), 1823 nucleotides long. RefSeq lists it as uncharacterized. Lineage: Eukaryota; Metazoa; Mollusca; Bivalvia; Mytilida; Mytilidae. The record is from RefSeq and is a predicted model, not a curated record. The transcript is spliced from 9 exons.
CAAUUUUAAUUCCUUUUUAGGUUAUUACACAACUGUUUUCAUGGAUGGGGAGUAAAACUGGGUGGUCUAAUACUUUUCAUAAAUUAACAAAAUAACAACACGACUGGUGGAUUCAAUUCUAGGAACCAGUGAAGAAAUUAAAAGUGAAGACUUGCGACGGAAAAUCCAGGAAACAGGUCUUUUACUGAACAGUAUGAGAGAGCAAAGAUGAUUGUUGGAUUUAAACUGCUUGGAAAAUACCACAAAAUGAAGACAAAAAAUGCACUGCAUCAACAAACAAAUCAACUACUGGAAUGUCAGGGCAUCAGUACCUAGUUCUGAUUCUAAAAACAAUUGUUCAAAAUAAAUGGAGAAUGUGACAAAGAUGAAGAUUUGGAUCAUUUUGGCUUGAAAGAUUGUCAGGAACAUGAAGAAACUGAAUCCAUUAUGAACAUAUGUACACAAACAGACAAAAUAACAACAACACUGGUUGAUACAAUUCUAGGAACUGGUAAAGAAGUUAAGUUUUACAAAAUACAGAAGACUUGCAACGGAAAAUCCAGGAAACAGGUCAUUUACUGAACAGUAUGAGAGAGCCAAGAUGAUUGUUGGAUUUAAACUGCUUGAAAAAUACAACCAAAUGAAGACAAAAAAUGCAUCAACAAACAAAUCAACUAAUGGAACGUUUGGGCAUCAGUACCUAGUUCUGACUCGUAAAGCAAUUGUUCAAAACAAAUGGAGAAUGUGACACAGAUGAUGACCCUGCUUGCAUAUAUUAACAUUAUAAAGGGACAAACAGUUAAUUGAUGCAGUUUAAAUUCAAAGCUGAACAGUGUUUUGUGAUGAAAAUAUGAAUCUUUUUGGCUUGAAAGAUUGUCAGGAAAAUGAAGAAACUGAAUCCAUUAUGAACAUAUGUACACAAACAGACAAAAUAACAACAACACUGGUUGAUACAAUUCUAGGAACUGGUGAAGAAGUUAAGUUUUACAAAAUACAGAAGACUUGCAACGGAAAAUCCCGGAAUGAGGUCUUUUACUGAACAGUAUGAGAGAGAGUCAAGAUGAUUGUUGGAUUUAAACUGCUUGAAAAAUACAACCAAAUGAAGACAAAAAAUGCAUCAACAAACAAAUCAACUAAUGGAAUGUUGGGGCAUCAGUACCUAGUUCUGACUCUAAAAGCAAUUGUUCAAAAUAAAUGGAGAAUGUGACACAGAUGAUGACCCUGCUUGCAUAUAUUAACAUUAUAAAGAGACAAACAGUUAAUUGAUGCAGUUUAAAUUCAAAGCUGAACAGUGUUUUGUGAUGAAAAUAUGAAUCUUUUUGGCUUGAAAGAUUGUCAGGAAAAUGAAGAAACUGAAUCCAUUAUGAACAUAUGUACACAAACAGACAAAAUAACAACAACACUGGUUGAUACAAUUCUAGGAACUGGUGAAGAAGUUAAGUUUUACAAAAUACAGAAGACUUGCAACGGAAAAUCCCGGAAUGAGGUCUUUUACUGAACAGUAUGAGAGAGAGUCAAGAUGAUUGUUGGAUUUAAACUGCUUGAAAAAUACAACCAAAUGAAGACAAAAAAUGCAUCAACAAACAAAUCAACUAAUGGAAUGUUGGGGCAUCAGUACCUAGUUCUGACUCUAAAAGCAAUUGUUCAAAAUAAAUGGAGAAUGUGACACAGAUGAUGACCCUGCUUGCAUAUAUUAACAUUAUAAAGAGACAAACAGUUAAUUGAUGCAGUUUAAAUUCAAAGCUGAACAGUGUUUUGUGAUGAAAAUAUGAAUCCUUUUGGCUUGAAAGGUUGUCAGGAACAUGAAGAAACUGAAUCCAUUAUAAACAUAUGUACAUAAACAG